RNAcentral lists this long non-coding RNA (2145 nucleotides) under Salmo salar (Atlantic salmon). RNAcentral describes it as "lncRNA (ENSSSAG00000090624.1)". Lineage: Eukaryota; Metazoa; Chordata; Actinopteri; Salmoniformes; Salmonidae. The record is from RNAcentral.
GCUAGGAAAAACUCCCUAGAAAGGCCAGAACCUAGGAAGAAACCUAGAGAGGAACCAGGCUAUGAGGGGUGGCCAGUCCUCUUCUGGCUGUGCCGGGUGGAGAUUAUAACAGAACAUGGCCAAGAUGUUCAAAUGUUCAUAGAUGACCAGCAGGGUCAAAUAAUAAUAAUCACAGUGGUUGUCGAGGGUGCAACAGGUCAGCACCUCAGGAGUAAAUAUCAGUUGGCUUUUUAUAGCUGAUCAUUCAGAGUAUCUCUACCGCUCCUGCUGUCUUUAGAGAGAUGAAAACAGCAGGUCUGGGACAGGUAGCACGUCCGGUGAACAGGUCAGGGUUCCAUAGCCGCAGGCAGAACAGUUGAAACUUGAGCAGCAGCAUGGCCAGGUGGACUGGGGACAGCAAGGAGUCAUCAGGCCAGGUAGUCCUGAGGCAUGGUCCUAGGGCUCAGGUUCUCAAAGAGGGAGAAAGAAAGAAGGAAGGAAAGAAAGAAAGAAGGAAAGAAAGAAAGAGAAUUAGAGAGAGCAUACUUAAAUUCACACAGGACACCGGAUAAGACAGGAGAAAUACUCCAGAUAUAACAGACUGACCAUAGUCCCCUGACCCAAACUACUGCAGCAUAAGUACUGGAGGCUGAGACAGGAGGGGUCGGAAGACACUAUGGAAAGUUGAUCUUUGACGCUUUCGUGAGGGGCUUCCAUCCUCGUAUCAACCGACUCAUGGUCUGAACCACCCAUCACAGAACUGGCAGAGACAGGACUCAUCAGGGAUGAUUCUGAAAAACACAAAGAUGACAAUACAGGCAUGUCAAAUGUAUGGUUAUAUUGAAAGUGAUGCCACAAAUAACCAAUAGCAUCAUUGUUCAGUGUGAGCUUGAAAACACCAAGAUCUGUCUGUUUCACCACCUCCUCAAACACAUCCCCAUCAACUUUAGUUCCAGACCCAUCAUACAGCUUUGCCUCUGAUAAACUAGUAAGUGGGAUCUCAAAUUUCAGGAAAGCUGUAACAAACAUUAAAACAACAAUCGUAAUGGUAAGAGUAAUCAGACAGACUAGUAUGAAAACAAUACAUUUAUUUCCAAUCACAAAUUAAAAGUUUACCUCCAAUCAAAAAGGUUUUCAAGUGUCAGGUCAAUGAUCUUGACAUAUCUAUGUUCACCAUUGAAUUUCACCCUGAUCAGCAUGACUACGUCUGAAAGCAGUUAAGGGUACGAGAUAAGGCCAACAUGGAUGAAAAAGCAUUACAUUUUUAUUUUGAUCAUGACACUUUAUAUUAGGGUGACUACAAACGUUUUCAUCAAUACUCCUUUACUUAGCAAUGCUAAUUUCAAAGUAUAUUAUGAAAAUAUUGGAUCAUGACCACAACUUGUCUGAUAUUACUUAAAGCAGGUCCCAGCAAACAGACUAUUCAACUUACAUUCACUGUCCCGAAAUAUUGACACGGCCUAAUUAGUCCAGUAAAAUACACUCAUAAUUCCAGCUAGUCACUAUAUUAUGAUGUCAGGUUCUAGGAUUAGUCUUACAAGACCGCCAAAAUGAACUGAUUAUAAAGCGAGUGGGAAACACAGUUAGCCAGACUAGCUAGCUGCCAAUGCAAUGGCCACAAUAUUUAUCUGUAAGCAUCACACACAAGACUAAAAUGCAGUUAUAAUUUGGUAAAAUAAACAACUCACCUUAAAUCAGAUUAGUCCUCAAUAUAUAGUAAGCAUCUGAAAUAAAGAGAACAAACUAGCACGAGGCUAAAAAAAGCUUGGUGUUGAAAUGAGACACGCGCUCAUGGAACCAACACAUGGAGCAGACUAACUGCACAGGACAGGGGCAAGCUAGUUAACUAGCAUGCUAGCUAUCUAGCAAAGACUUGCAAAAAGUGACGUUUGGUGCCCUCUAGGCAGAGUUCCUCUGUCCAGUGUCUGUGUUCUUUUACCCAUCUUAAUUUUUUCUUUUUAUUGGCCAGUCUGAGAUAUGGCUUUUUCUUUGCAACUCUGCCUAGAAGGCCAGCAUCCCAGAGUCGCCUCUUCACUGUUGACAUUGAGACUGGUUUCUUGCGGGUACUAUUUUUUGAAGCUGUCAGUUGACCACUUGUGAGGCGUCUGUUUCUCAAACUAGACAAUCUAAUGUACUUGUCCUCUUGCUCAGUUGUGAGGGCCUCCC